UGUCUUUCCUCAGUGGUCUUGGCCGGGUUUGACCCCGAAGUAAAGUUCGAAGGAUUCUUCAUCGAGGCCUACGGCGCCUCGGAACAGCCCAUCGGGACCUUCGUUACCGCUCCCAUGAAGCUCGACUGCGGAGGACCUGCGACUGCAGCUUACUCCGCAGACAGUACUGAGAAGGUAGUCCAGAUGCUGAGUUGGAAGUCCCCAGAAAAUAUGAAGGGAACUGUUACUUUCAGGGGAACUGUGAUCAUGAAUAACGAAAUUUUCUGGGUUAAUGUGGUGUCCAAAAAGGUGAUGCUGGUCUAAUGAUGCUUGGAGAAUUGAAAUAGCUUUGAAAUGCAACUUUUUCUAUAUGCUUUUUUAACAUUUUAUUUGGAUUAUAUUAUAUAUUAUUCUGACUUGAUUAACUACUCUUAUUUUUUCUAUAUUCAUAUCAACAUAUAAAGAGAAGACUUAAAAUCAGAGUGUAUUUAAUAUUUAUUGAUAAUAAAAUCUUCAAAUAUUGGA
RNAcentral lists this long non-coding RNA (504 nucleotides) under Penaeus japonicus. Its description in RNAcentral is "uncharacterized LOC122244791". The record is from RNAcentral. Lineage: Eukaryota; Metazoa; Arthropoda; Malacostraca; Decapoda; Penaeidae.